CGCAGCCGCGGUAAUUCCAGCUCCAAUAGCGUAUAUUAAAGUUGUUGCAGUUAAAAAGCUCGGAGUUGAAUUUCGGGGUUCUACCGUCGGUCGGGCUACCAAGUCUGUACUGGUGUGUAGAACUUCUACCUUCUGGGGAACCAUCAUGUUAUUAAUUUAGCGUGGUGGGAAACCAGGACCUUUACCUUGAAAAAUUAGAGUGUUCAAAGCAGGCUUAUGUCUGAAUACAUUAGCAUGGAAUAAUAGAAUAGGACGGUGGUCCUGUUUUGUUGGUUUCUGAAUCACCGUAAUGAUUAAUAGGGAUAGUUGGGGGCAUUAGUAUUCAAUUGUCAGAGGUGAAAUUCUUGGAUUUAUUGAAGACUAACUUCUGCGAAAGCAUUUGCCAAGGAUGUUUUCAUUAAUCAAGAACGAAAGUUAGGGGAUCGAAGACGAUCAGAUACCGUCGUAGUC
This 450-nucleotide ribosomal RNA is filed under the name uncultured Scutellospora. RNAcentral's name for it is "SSU rRNA". It matches the Rfam family "Eukaryotic small subunit ribosomal RNA", at positions 569 to 1025 of the family's 1831-position model. The record is from RNAcentral. Lineage: Eukaryota; Fungi; Glomeromycota; Glomeromycetes; Diversisporales; Gigasporaceae.